This 253-nucleotide ribosomal RNA is filed under the name uncultured bacterium. Its description in RNAcentral is "partial 16S ribosomal RNA". It matches the Rfam family "Bacterial small subunit ribosomal RNA", at positions 524 to 776 of the family's 1533-position model. The record is from RNAcentral.
UACAGAGGGGGCAAGCGUUGUUCGGAAUUACUGGGCGUAAAGGGCGCGUAGGCGGCCCUCUAAGUCGAACGUGAAAUCCCUGGGCUCAACCCAGGAACUGCGUCCGAGACUGGGGGGCUAGAAUCCGGGAGAGGGAUGUGGAAUUCCAGGUGUAGCGGUGAAAUGCGUAGAUAUCUGGAGGAACACCGGUGGCGAAGGCGGCAUCCUGGACCAAUACUGACGCUGAGGAGCGAAAGCCAGGGGAGCAAACGGG